GAUGAAGAACGCAGCGAAAUGCGAUAAGUAAUGUGAAUUGCAGAAUUCAGUGAAUCAUCGAAUCUUUGAACGCACAUUGCGCCCGCCAGUAUUCUGGCGGGCAUGCCUGUUCGAGCGUCAUUUCAACCAUCAAGCCCCAGGCUUGUGUUGGAGCCCUGCGGCUGCCGCAGCCUCCCAAAACCAGUGGCGGGCUCGCUAUCACACCGAGUGCAGUAGUUUACUCUUCGCUCAGGGCGUGUGGCGGGUGCUAGCCGUAAAACCCCCAACUUCUCAAGGUUGACCUCGGAUCAGGUAGGAAUACUCGCUGAACUUAAGCAUAUCAAUAAGCGGAGGA
This 334-nucleotide unclassified non-coding RNA is filed under the name soil metagenome. RNAcentral describes it as "partial contains 5.8S ribosomal RNA, internal transcribed spacer 2, and large subunit ribosomal RNA". The stretch from base 1 to 120 matches the Rfam family "5.8S ribosomal RNA", at positions 35 to 154 of the family's 154-position model. The record is from RNAcentral.